AAAAAGCUCCAGGUCAGCCAGGGCUACAUAGUAAGGUACUGUGUCAAAGAACAAAGAACAAUUCUACGGGUAGAGUCACAUCGUCAGGGUACGAGGUAAGAGCUCAGUGGCUCAGCCAGCUCAUGGCCCUGAAUACUGAACUCCUAAGAAGUGCUAACAUCUGCUGCUUGUCCUGAGGGCCACACUGUGAGAGCCCCUGUCCCAAGCCUGACUGGCUGAUUUCUCAAGUCAGAAGACAGGGAGAGGGCUGCCAGGAGAAUACACCCCAAAGCAGGCCACACCCUGUCCAUCCUAGAGAGCUCACCAACAAUGACAGACACUCGGGGAGGGAGCAGGUGUGGAGUCAGAGAUCAACCAGAGACUUUACACACAGCACAGGGCUCUGUUUCUGGCUAGUGACCUCUGCUUGGCCUUGUAUUUUCGCUGUCAGGGCUACGAUGUAACCAGAGGGACUCCUCUCACCCUCAGAUGGAGUGACAUAGUUUGAGGGGUUUGAGAAAAUUACAGGGUUAACAGAAGGGGCCAUGGUGAUGCUGAAAUUUUGGUGAUUGGCUUCAAAUGUAUCCAGGCUUACCCUAAGUACAAUCAGGGUGUCCCACCGAUAGUGUGAUGGAGCCUACGGGACACUAGAGGGCGCGCUGAGCUCGCGGAAGCCGCAGUCCAGGGCCCCGCAGAAUCCCUUGCAGUGUGGAGCGACUUCCCAGUACAAUGUGAUCCCUUGGUAAGCUCACUGAAACCGAGCAAACAAAGAGAAGUUGCCUUGGAGAGGCUGGAGACAAUGGAGACCUCCCCUCCCCAGCCCGAGUGACCUUGAGGAGAACGACUUCCCAGAGGAAUGUGGCCUGAAGCCAGAACCAGAACAAAGUGGCCUGAGGUGAGAGAGGAAGAAAGGUGCCCUUAGGUGACUGAGACUGCGUGGAAGCUGGACAGGGCUGGGCUUUCUUCUUUAUCUCUGGUACCUAGACAAGGGACUUCCCAUUGGCUUGGCUCCUUCAGCCUCCAGAGAGUCAAACUCCUCUUGCAGUCCUAGCUCCUUAUGAAAAACUGACAUGCUUUGGCCCAGUUUCCGACUUGUGCAAUCCUGGGAAAUGUUAAAGGGUUAGCUAGCCCUCGCCUCACAUUUUGGGGUACUGUUUCUUACAAUGUGUGAUUUUAAAAAAAUUUCUUUUUGGUCCAAUAGAUUUUCCAGGCUGAGCAAGGCUUCUUUCUCCCCUCCCUACUGGUCUUUAGAGGCAAGCCAAGAAGAAAAGGAGGUGGAGAGAGACCAGCCAGGCAGCUCACCCCCAACACAGGCACCCUCGAGGACUGUGGCUGGGGGGCCAGGGGCAGUUUCCUUGAAGGCACUGCUGUGGCAUACAGAAAGGGGAUGGGGGCCUAUGAUGGGGCCAUAGGCAAUAAACCCACCAAGGGACUCUGAAAUAGGUAAGGUACAAUGCUGAGUGACAGGGGACCAUCACUGAGCCAGACCCUGCAUCACCAAAGCUAAGAAAGGGACCAGACAGACUCGAAGUGAAGUCCAGAUACUAAGACCCUAGCUGCGCGGCUGGAAGGUGCCCUGUCCUGCCCGUCCUUCCUCUGGGCCAAGGCACAAGCCCUGUGUCUUGGGUCUACUCUCUUGACUCCCUCUCUCCCUACCCCAUGCCCAAGUGGGGACGCACAAAAGAUUCUGGGAACCUUUCCCCACCCCACCCCACCCCCAACCCUUGAGGCAGGGUUUCUCUGUGUGUCCCUGGCUAUCCUGGGGCUCACUCUGUAGAUGGAGCUGGCCUUGAACUCAGAGAUCCUCCUGCCUCUGCCUCCCAAAUGCUAGGGUUACACUAUGCCGGGAGGAUUCUAGAGCCCAACCCUCCCAGAGGGAUUUGAUCUCUCCUUUUGUUCUCCACCACAGUGAUGCAAUUGCUAAACAAUAAAAUGAUUUUUUAAUCAGCA
Mesocricetus auratus (golden hamster) is the source of this 1929-nucleotide long non-coding RNA. RefSeq lists it as uncharacterized. The record is from RefSeq and is a predicted model, not a curated record. The transcript is spliced from 2 exons. Lineage: Eukaryota; Metazoa; Chordata; Mammalia; Rodentia; Cricetidae.